This 442-nucleotide ribosomal RNA is filed under the name uncultured bacterium. RNAcentral's name for it is "partial 16S ribosomal RNA". It matches the Rfam family "Bacterial small subunit ribosomal RNA", at positions 338 to 795 of the family's 1533-position model. The record is from RNAcentral.
CCUACGGGAGGCAGCAGUGGGGAAUAUUGGGCAAUGGGCGCAAGCCUGACCCAGCAACGCCGCGUGGAGGAAGAAGGCUUUCGGGGUGGAAACUUCUUUUUUCAGGGGAGAGUAGAAGACGGUACCUGACGAAUAAGCCACGGCUAACUACGUGCCGGCAGCCGCGGUAAUACGUAGGUGGCAAGCGUUGUACGGAUUUACUGGGUGUAAAGGGCGUGUAGCCGGGUUCACAAGUCAGAUGUGAAAUCCUGCGGCUUAACCGCAGAACUGCAUUUGAAACUGUUGAUCUUGAGUACUGGAGAGGCAGACGGAAUUCGUAGUGUAGCGGUGAAAUGCGUAGAUAUUAGGAGGAACACCAGUGGCGAAGGCGGUCUGCUGGACAGCAACUGACGGUGAGGCGCGAAAGCGUGGGGAGCAAACAGGAUUAGAUACCCGAGUAGUC